UGGUUAGAUAUUAUUAAUAAACGACCACAUUGUUCAGCUAACAAGUAUUGGAUUCACACCCCAAGCACAUCACUACUACUAAAUGAGUAGACGGGAAUCAACAAGUACAAGUGAUCAUCUUAGUAAAAGAGAAAAAAACAAAAAUGAUUUUUUGACGUCACAAAUCUAUUUGACACCUAAAAAGAUAAAGAUAUAUAAGAGAAAGAAAUGUAAGUAUACAUAUUAGAAAAAUUAAGAGAGAAAAAUUAGGAGUAUUAAUGAGCUGUUUAGAAUUAUAAGGUGUUCACAUAUUGGCGCUGAGAGUCAGUGACUCGUGUGGCGUAGUAUUUAGCAAUGAAAUCAGAGGCUUUUCUGUCAAUGCCAGG
Molecule: long non-coding RNA, 365 nt
Filed under: Glycine max (soybean)
Lineage: Eukaryota; Viridiplantae; Streptophyta; Magnoliopsida; Fabales; Fabaceae
Description: long non-coding RNA (GMAX_LNC003455)
Source: RNAcentral